AUUGAACGCUGGCGGAAUGCUUUACACAUGCAAGUCGAGCGGCAGCGCGGGGCAACCUGGCGGCGAGCGGCGAACGGGUGAGUAAUGCAUCGGAACAUGUCCAUGUCGUGGGGGAUAGCCCGGCGAAAGCCGGAUUAAUACCGCAUACGCUCGAGAGAGGAAAGCCGGGGGACCGCAAGGCCUGGCGCGAUUGGGUUGGCCGAUGUCCGAUUAGCUAGUUGGUGAGGUAAAGGCUUACCAAGGCGAUGAUCGGUAGCUGGUCUGAGAGGAUGAUCAGCCACACUGGGACUGAGACACGGCCCAGACUCCUACGGGAGGCAGCAGUGGGGAAUUUUGGACAAUGGGGGCAACCCUGAUCCAGCCAUUCCGCGUGAGUGAAGAAGGCCUU
This 388-nucleotide ribosomal RNA is filed under the name uncultured bacterium. RNAcentral describes it as "bacterial SSU rRNA". It matches the Rfam family "Bacterial small subunit ribosomal RNA", at positions 29 to 418 of the family's 1533-position model. The record is from RNAcentral.